Molecule: long non-coding RNA, 3977 nt
Organism: Anolis carolinensis (green anole)
Lineage: Eukaryota; Metazoa; Chordata; Lepidosauria; Squamata; Anolidae
Exons: 2
Source: RefSeq, a predicted model, not a curated record
GCCGCCCACUCCGCAGUCCCGUCCGGAAAAGCCGCCGCUUAACCUUGACCUAGAACCGCCGCCAAUGCCUGGAAGGUUAAUGGAAUUCCAAUUUGCAAGCUGCCAACAGAGGCCGGAAUUCGAACCCCAAGGAGAACGGGGUGAAGAGCUGGAACUUUUCGGAGAACUUCAGCGGCCCAUUGGGCGAGUCGGGCCGGUUGCACUCCCAGCGCUUGAAGCCGUUUUGCCGGUGGUCGCAGGAGUCGUGACCCUCGUAGUUGACCAUGUAGAGGAUGUAGCGCUCCAUGCGGUCCAUGGGGAAAGGCCUCUCGUAGUGCGGGCAAUAGAUAUCCAGGUAGUCGUUGAUGCUCACUUCCACGGUGUAGUCGCUCUGGUGGAACCUGUGGUGGGAAACAGCGAGGAAGAGUUAACGAAGUGAAAAUAACUUGGAAUGCCUGCAGCCGAGCGUGAACUACAGUAAGAAACACAAUUUGCCUCCUUGCCUUGCAGAGUGUGUGUGUGGUUGCAGUCUGCCUGCAGCCGAGCGCCAACUACAGUAAGAAACACAACUUGCCUCCUUGCCUUGCAGCGUGCAGCCUGCCUGCAGCCGAGCGCCACCUCUACAGUAAGAAACAGAACUUGCCUCCUUGCCUUGGAGAGGGUGUGUGUGGUGUGUAGCCUGCCUGCAGCCGAGCACCUACUCUACAGUAAGAAACAGAACUUGCCUCCUUGCCUUGGAGAGAGUGUGUGUGGUGUGUAGCCUGCCUGCAGCCGAGCGCCACCUCUACAGUAAGAAACAGAACUUGCCUCCUUGCCUUGGAGAGAGUGUGUGUGGUGUGUAGCCUGCCUGCAGCCGAGCGCCUACUCUACAGUAAGAAACAGAACUUGCCUCCUUGCCUUGGAGAGGGUGUGUGUGGUGUGUAGCCUGCCUGCAGCCAAGCGCCUCCUCUAGAGUAAGAAACAGAACUUGCCUCCUUGCCUUGGAGAGGGUGUGUGUGGUGUGUAGCCUGCCUGCAGCCAAGCGCCUCCUCUAGAGUAAGAAACAGAACUUGCCUCCUUGCCUUGGAGAGUACUAUGUGGUGUGUGGCGGCUGCCUCUCCUCCAGAGUAGAGAAACAGGUAAGAAGGUUUUUUAAAGCACACGCCAGUGCCUGCAGCUGAGCACCUCUCCUUUAGAGUAGAAACAACCUAUGACAGGAAGGGGAGCCUGGGAAGUCCCUCAUAAUGAGCUGAUAAAAAAUGGAUCUUUCAGCACUCCAGAGCGAAAACAGAUAUCUGCCCUCCCAAAAAACGGAUCGGGGACCCAUCUAAAGCCAGGAUACAAAACGGGUCAGUAGACAUAAAACAGGAUGUCUCAGAGAUGGGACCCAAAUCUAAACACAAAACCCUUUGGUUAAACUUUAUACACAUAGCUUGAAUGCCUCGUGUGCGACCACCACAACAUAGCUUGUGUGCGACCAACACAGGCUGUCGCACCCCCCACGCGAUGCCAAGGUAAUCGGCGGCACCCUUUCCCACCCCUUCCCUUCUGCUGAGCGGAUUUCAGCUUUUGCCGGAGACACUCCAGAACCGACCGCCUUCCCGUCCACGUGAUCCCCUUAAUCUCCCUUCCUCCCAUUAACUUUACAAGAUUAAAGCGAGCACCUCUUAAAAUUAAUAAACUGGCAACCGCCGACGAGGAAGGGAGGGAGAGAUCGUUCCUCGACAUCGCGGGUAUUAUAUUCAGAGGCACAUAUCGCUCAGGAAGAUGGGUUUCGUUCCUCUGUUUCAUUCUCUUCUUUUUCUUAUAAUUUUGGGACAGAGAGAUUAAGGGAUUAGGAAAUCCAGGGGAAGCGCACGCUAGGCCUGCAUUCAAAGAGGCAGGUGUCGUGGUUCAUACGGUUUGGCUUUCAGGGGACGUCGAACAGAAGCUGUCCAAAGCUUGGAAAAGAGAGUGCGUGUGUUGCAUGGCGUGCAGCCAGGCUCGAAAAGUGUGUGUUCCUGCCAGUGCCUGCAGCUGAGCGCCUCUUUCUACUCUAGAGUAAGAGGCGCUCAGGUGCAGGCCACCACCGAAAGCUGGGACACAAAAUGGGAGAAGGUUUACCCUGCGUGCACAACCCUAUUGUGUAGGAGAUGGAACUCACAUUUCCCGAGAUGUAGACAAGGAAAUAGAGUCUCCCUAAACAUUACGAAUAACUUUUUAGCGGACCUCUUUCACUGCACAUUCCACCACUGGCGGUCUUGAAAAAAAACACUUGGGUGUCAUACUUAAAGAGGAGUUGCAUUCUCCUGUUGGACUAAAUGAGUGGUUCCCAAACUUAUUUGGCCUACAGUCCCUUUUCCAGAAAAAAUAUGACUCAGCGCCCUGGAAGGGGGCGUGGCUUAGAAGGGUGGGCGUGGCUCCUGCUCAAGAGGGCGGGGCUGAGCCUCUCCCCUAGUCCAAGAGGCAGGGCUGGGAGGGGGAGGUGGGCGGGGCCAUAAAUGGACAGCCAGGACUGGGAUGGGCAGGGUUACGAGCUCUGAGUCAGGGCUGAGCUUCUAUCCCUGUCCUGCAGUGCCUGCCAGAUAACAGGGGGCGGGGCUAAAGUGGGUGGGCCUCUAUACCCCGCCCCAUGUUCUAACAAGCACCUCAAGGGAGGUAUACAGAGGCUCUUGGGAAGAGGCCCCGCCCCUAGCCCCACCCUUUAGUCCUAAAAGGCCUCUCAGGAGAGAUAUAGAGGCUCAGCCCUGUCUCAUGCUCUUGGGAAGAGGCCCCACCCCCGCCCUAGCCCCGCCCUUUAGUCCUAAAAGGCCUCUCAGGAAAGGUAUAGAGGCUCAGCCCUGUCUCAUGCUCUUGGGAAGAGGCCCCACCCCCGCCCUAGCCCCGCCCUUUAGUCCUAAAAGGCCUCUCAGGAAAGGUAUAGAGGCUCAGCCCUGUCUCAUGCUCUUGGGAAGAGGCCCCGCCCCCACCCUAGCCCCACCCUUUAGUCCUAAAAGGCCUCUCAAGAGAGAUAUAGAGGCUCAGCCCUGUCUCGGGUUCUUUGAAGGAGGCCCCGCCCCCACCCCUAGCCCGUCCCUUUAGUCCUAAAAGGCCUCUCAGGAGAAAUAUAGAGGCUCAGCCCUGACUCGGGCUUUGUGGUUCUAUAUCUGGAACAGAAAUUGGCUGUCUAGUGGAUUACUGUCUGUAUCUAAACACUCUGAAGUUUAUCAAUACAUGCGACGUGGAGGACUGAACACCAAGAGGACUGUCGUCAUCUGCUGUUGCUCUGAAACCAAAGACAACCACACAAAGCCAUGGAGCGGAAGGGCCCAUCUCUUGAGCCUGCAAGGAUUUCCUUUGGUCUGACUCGCACACAUCUCCCAGUGUCUAAUGUGAGCAGAAAGAUCACCUUGGGAUUUACUGACUGGGAAUCAUUUUGGAAAGAGUAAAACCAGGUAUGAAAAAGGGCAUUAAAGGAAAUCCGAGAGGAUACCGACAAUCUCGUUAGACUUAAAUAAAUCUCUGAGAGACGUUCAGCUGCACGUUGAGGCUGGAUGGGAGCAGGAGUCCAGCCCAAGAUAAAAGGAGUGCAAGCCUACCUUUUGCUUGAAACCACUUUGGCUUUCUGAUGCUUUAGUGUAUACAAACUUUGCUUCAACAAAAAUCAUAUAUAUAAUGUGCGUUUUUCCGAUGGAGCAAACAACAAAACCACUGAACCAAAUCACACCAAAUUUGGCCGCAAAAGACAUAGUCAUCCAAUCUAUGUCUUUCAAACAAAAAACCUGAAAAAGAAAGUCCAAAUUAGAGAACGAGGAAGGGCCGUUUUUAACCCUUGUUGCUGGUCAGAAGGGUAGGCCCUGCCCCCUUUAGGUCCCGCCCACUUUGUCUCUGUCAUGAUCUCCAACCUUUGACAUCUCUGGUCGGCUGACAAAGAACAAAUGCCAGCCAUAAAACGGGCCAGCCAUAAAACCUCAAUUACCCUCUGGUAUGUGAGAGCCCCUUUAUAAAUGGGCCAAAGAGAAGGUUCUGGUAUUCUGUACAAUAAAACCUGUUCAAAUCUA